This 163-nucleotide ribosomal RNA is filed under the name uncultured bacterium. Its description in RNAcentral is "partial 16S rRNA". It matches the Rfam family "Bacterial small subunit ribosomal RNA", at positions 355 to 509 of the family's 1533-position model. The record is from RNAcentral.
UAGGGAAUCUUCCACAAUGGACGCAAGUCUGAUGGAGCAACGCCGCGUGAGUGAAGAAGGGUUUCGGCUCGUAAAGCUCUGUUGUUAAAGAAGAACGUUGGGUAAGAGUAACUGUUUACCCAGUGACGGUAUUUAACCAGAAAGCCACGGCUAACUACGUCAC